CUCACUAGUCGAGUCGGCCUGCGCGGAAGAUGUAACGGGGCUCAAACCACACACCGAAGCUGCGGGUGUCACGUAAGUGACGCGGUAGAGGAGCGUUCUGUAAGCCUGUGAAGGUGAGUUGAGAAGCUUGCUGGAGGUAUCAGAAGUGCGAAUGCUGACAUGAGUAACGACAAUGGGUGUGAAAAACACCCACGCCGAAAGACCAAGGGUUCCUGCGCAACGUUAAUCGACGCAGGGUUAGUCGGUUCCUAAGGCGAGGCUGAAAAGCGUAGUCGAUGGGAAACAGGUUAAUAUUCCUGUACUUCUGGUUACUGCGAUGGAGGGACGGAGAAGGCUAGGCCAGCUUGGCGUUGGUUGUCCAAGUUUAAGGUGGUAGGCUGAAAUCUUAGGUAAAUCCGGGGUUUCAAGGCCGAGAGCUGAUGACGAGUCGUCUUUUAGAUGACGAAGUGGUUGAUGCCAUGCUUCCAAGAAAAGCUUCUAAGCUUCAGGUAACCAGGAACCGUACCCCAAACCGACACAGGUGGUCGGGUAGAGAAUACCAAGGCGCUUGAGAGAACUCGGGUGAAGGAACUAGGCAAAAUGGCACCGUAACUUCGGGAGAAGGUGCGCCGGCUAGGGUGAAGGAUUUACUCCGUAAGCUCUGGCUGGUCGAAGAUACCAGGCCGCUGCGACUGUUUAUUAAAAACACAGCACUCUGCAAACACGAAAGUGGACGUAUAGGGUGUGACGCCUGCCCGGUGCCGGAAGGUUAAUUGAUGGGGUUAGCGCAAGCGAAGCUCUUGAUCGAAGCCCCGGUAAACGGCGGCCGUAACUAUAACGGUCCUAAGGUAGCGAAAUUCCUUGUCGGGUAAGUUCCGACCUGCACGAAUGGCGUAACGAUGGCGGCGCUGUCUCCACCCGAGACUCAGUGAAAUUGAAAUCGCUGUGAAGAUGCAGUGUAUCCGCGGCUAGACGGCAAGACCCCGUGAACCUUUACUGUAGCUUUGCACUGGACUUUGAGCCUGCUUGUGUAGGAUAGGUGGGAGGCUUUGAAGCGUGGACGCCAGUUCGCGUGGAGCCAUCCUUGAAAUACCACCCUGGCAUGCUUGAGGUUCUAACUCUGGUCCGUAAUCCGGAUCGAGGACAGUGUAUGGUGGGCAGUUUGACUGGGGCGGUCUCCUCCUAAAGAGUAACGGAGGAGUACGAAGGUGCGCUCAGACCGGUCGGAAAUCGGUCGCAGAGUAUAAAGGCAAAAGCGCGCUUGACUGCGAGACAGACACGUCGAGCAGGUACGAAAGUAGGUCUUAGUGAUCCGGUGGUUCUGUAUGGAAGGGCCAUCGCUCAACGGAUAAAAGGUACUCCGGGGAUAACAGGCUGAUACCGCCCAAGAGUUCAUAUCGACGGCGGUGUUUGGCACCUCGAUGUCGGCUCAUCACAUCCUGGGGCUGAAGCCGGUCCCAAGGGUAUGGCUGUUCGCCAUUUAAAGUGGUACGCGAGCUGGGUUUAGAACGUCGUGAGACAGUUCGGUCCCUAUCUGCCGUGGACGUUUGAGAUUUGAGAGGGGCUGCUCCUAGUACGAGAGGACCGGAGUGGACGAACCUCUGGUGUUCCGGUUGUCACGCCAGUGGCAUUGCCGGGUAGCUAUGUUCGGAAAAGAUAACCGCUGAAAGCAUCUAAGCGGGAAACUUGCCUCAAGAUGAGAUCUCACUGGGAACUUGAUUCCCCUGAAGGGCCGUCGAAGACUACGACGUUGAUAGGCUGGGUGUGUAAGCGUUGUGAGGCGUUGAGCUAACCAGUACUAAUUGCCCGUGAGGCUUGACCAU
RNAcentral lists this ribosomal RNA (1802 nucleotides) under Pseudomonas aeruginosa. RNAcentral's name for it is "partial 23S ribosomal RNA". It matches the Rfam family "Bacterial large subunit ribosomal RNA", at positions 1141 to 2925 of the family's 2925-position model. The record is from RNAcentral. Lineage: Bacteria; Pseudomonadati; Pseudomonadota; Gammaproteobacteria; Pseudomonadales; Pseudomonadaceae.